UCGAACUCGUUGGGCGCGUCCUUGAAGAUUCUUAAACCUCCAUCGGCCUUCAGAGUAGUCAACACAGAGGAAGAAACAAGGACGCAAUUGCAGAUGAAGGGCAGCACAUACAACGACGAUAAACAGCUCCUCUAAAAAAAGGAUUGAACCUUUCCCAUGAAUCGGGGAUGAAGUGCAACAGGUAGAGGCACUUGUUUUCCAAUGGAAUCUGGGUCACUUCUUUUCGUGAAAUAAUCGCCACACAGGUGUGAAUACAUAUUUCGUUUUUACUCGACAUAUCUUAUAUAACUAGAUAUAUGUGUAACUAGAUAUUUCUUAAACCAGAUAUGAAAAUCUUUAAGACAUGUUUCUAGAUUAGAAAUUAAUGAAUGUAACUAAAACGCAUGUUGAAAUACUUGUUGUGCAUCUUCUGUGUAAUGUCGAUUCUUUUUCUACUUUAAGAUAUUUACUUGAUAUUUAAAAGUAGAAUGCGUACGAAGUUUCGAUAAAAGGGAUAACAAUGUAUUUGAUGGGAAUAAUAUUGAAUUUUUACGAUAUAUUAUAUUUAAUAAUUCAUAGGAAAAAAUAAAGCUUUAUUCGCUUUGGUUAAUCAGAAUUUAAUUAAUGAUGAAGCAAUAAAAAUAUUAAAUUUAAAAAA
This is a long non-coding RNA of Apis cerana (Asiatic honeybee), 637 nucleotides long. RefSeq lists it as uncharacterized. The record is from RefSeq and is a predicted model, not a curated record. Lineage: Eukaryota; Metazoa; Arthropoda; Insecta; Hymenoptera; Apidae.